This is a non-coding RNA of Meleagris gallopavo (turkey), 1040 nucleotides long. NCBI's taxonomy places the organism in Eukaryota, Metazoa, Chordata, Aves, Galliformes, Phasianidae. The record is from RefSeq and is a predicted model, not a curated record.
GGGCUGGCAGCCACAAGGGAAGGAUCUCUGCUUGGAGACUGCUUCCUUUGGUGUGUUUGGUGGGCCCUGAUCCUUGGAAAGGGAAUUCUGGCUGUGUCCUAUUGCAUGUGAAGAGAAUGUCCAGGCUGUCCAGUUGUCUAAGCAUCUCUCUGGCUUGCUUUUCUCCAGAAAAGUGUUACCUAAAGGCUGACUAGGAAGACUAAACGUAGAUGCUACAACUGUCCUUCUCCAGGCUCAGCCAGAGCCAGUCCUUUCCGAAGCUGUUUGCAAAGGAGGGAGAUCACUGAUCAAACUCCUACUCCGUGUGGGAGAGGCCAGCUCCUCUGGACUCCAGAUGUGACUCUGAGAGACUCUUAUUGCCCCAUCUCCAGCAGUGAUUCCUCUGCGGGUUUCAUCAUCCCUGGGAAAGUGGGCAGGAGAAGGCCAAGAGUGUUGUUCUUCUGGAGCCCUUCCAUCAGGCUGCAUAGGAAGAGGCUGGCUGUGCCUGGGCUGCAGGGCAGUGCUGGAGCUCCCUGUGAUUACCAGUGCUGUGUCCACCACCGUGAAGCCAUUCCCCUGGUUGCUGGGGCACUGCCAAAUGCGAGAAGCUCUCUGGCUGCGUAAUGAACGUGUGAUGUUCUGAUGGCUACGUACAGAAGAACUGCUGCAGAAUAGGCUGUGUGUCUUGUCGGAGAUUAUAAGUUAAAUAGGGGCACUUUGCGUCAUUGUUUUGAUCUUCAAAAUACAAGGAAAUUGAAUGCAAAGAGCUGUAGGGAACUUUCAAAGGCAUAUGAGCAAUUAGGAGCAUGAAUCCUUUUGGCUGAAUAAUCACUUCUGAAUGUUUUUCUCUUCAUGUAUCCUUAACUCCCCUCAAAGUACUGAUGGCAAAAUAGGUCUGGGAAAACUUGACUUCCUCAGGCUGAUUUGUCCUAUUGGCAAGUCUCUGGAUGUUAAGAGACAUUUUAGAUUUCGUCCUACCCUCUGAUGGCUACUUUUACCGGGUCGGUAAAAUAAAGAUCUGUAAUGUUGAACAAUUUCGUUUUUAUGGGAAUUCUGCCUCU